GACUCUCGGCAACGGAUAUCUCGGCUCACGCAUCGAUGAAGAACGUAGCAAAAUGCGAUACUUGGUGUGAAUUGCAGAAUCCCGUGAACCAUCGAGUUUUUGAACGCAAGUUGCGCCCAAAGCCUUUUGGCCGAGGGCACGUCUGCCUGGGCGUCACAC
Molecule: ribosomal RNA, 159 nt
Filed under: Roldana platanifolia
Lineage: Eukaryota; Viridiplantae; Streptophyta; Magnoliopsida; Asterales; Asteraceae
Description: 5.8S ribosomal RNA
Rfam family: 5.8S ribosomal RNA
About the family: 5.8S ribosomal RNA (5.8S rRNA) is a component of the large subunit of the eukaryotic ribosome.
Source: RNAcentral